CCUACGGGUGGCAGCAGUGGGGAAUAUUGCACAAUGGGGGAAACCCUGAUGCAGCGACGCCGCGUGAGUGAAGAAGUAUUUCGGUAUGUAAAGCUCUAUCAGCAGGGAAGAAAAUGACGGUACCUGAUUAAGAAGCCCCGGCUAACUACGUGCCAGCAGCCGCGGUAAUACGUAGGGGGCAAGCGUUAUCCGGAUUGACUGGGUGUAAAGGGGGCGUAGACGGCAGCACAAGUCAGGAGUGAAAUGCCGAGGCUUAACCCAGGAACUGCUUUGGAAACUGUGCAUCUAGAGUGCAGGAGAGGUAAGGGGAAUUCCUAGUGUAGCGGGGAAAUGCGGAGGUAUUAGGAGGAACACCA
This 356-nucleotide ribosomal RNA is filed under the name uncultured bacterium. RNAcentral's name for it is "partial 16S ribosomal RNA". It matches the Rfam family "Bacterial small subunit ribosomal RNA", at positions 338 to 711 of the family's 1533-position model. The record is from RNAcentral.